Mesocricetus auratus (golden hamster) is the source of this 937-nucleotide long non-coding RNA. RefSeq lists it as uncharacterized. The transcript has 2 exons. Lineage: Eukaryota; Metazoa; Chordata; Mammalia; Rodentia; Cricetidae. The record is from RefSeq and is a predicted model, not a curated record.
AAGCUUACAUGAAUGCAAAACACGAGCGGCACUAGAAACAAGGCAUAAUUUAAAAGAAUUCACCAGAUGACUUAAACAAAUAAACCUAGUGGGUUAAGCUUAUUGUUCUACAGAGAAUAAGCAACGCGGCUACCCACGGAUUGAUGGAGUUCACUGGAAUAGAGCAGGGCUGACAAAUGGGGAUAAAAUAUUUGGCAGUUGUACUUUGUCCUGAGACAAAUGACCAACUUACUUUAAAUUCAUUUCCUGCAGCUGGUGAGUGGGUGGCCAGGUCUGCAGCCCACCCAUUGUAGCCAAGUGACAUUUCUUGACUUUGAUGGGUUGCCACCUUUUGAUUCUAUAUUUUACAGAACAAUGUAUACUGCAGAUCGUUUUCCAAAUGUUCUGGUAUAAAUGAAGACCUUUUGCAAGUCGUGGCCACGCUCAGAGAAUGGGAUGUUUUGACAAGCUGCGGAAUGAGUUGUCGGGCAGCAGUCGGAAGGACACAGCACUAGCAGUCAAACAGCAAGGCUGUGAUGUCUUGACCUUCAAAAUGCACCUCCACAGCACUGAAUAUUUUAAUCCAUUCAAACAAUUUACUGUAUCUCAGUGACUGGAGUGGGCCCUGGGAGCUAACUGUUGGAGAGUUUUUUAUUGCGUUUGAAACCAUCAUUGCAGGAAUCUGGGGUUUUCAAGCUAAAAUUUCCUGUGGAAGUUGGUGGCAUUUCCACAUAUUAAAGACUUAUUCCAAGAGCUGGAUGAGAAAGCAAGCAUCAAAUCUAUAACACAAAUUGGAAAGACUUGGCAUCUUAACAAUAUUGAGGCUUCUCGAUCGACAAUGGACUCAGAUACUCUUUAAUUAGUCUCAGAAAUGUUCUAUAGUUCCCAGUAGGUGAGAUUAUCAUAUUUACCUCUAAAUAUUUCAUAUAUUUAUCAAUAAAUGCUUCAUUUAAAAAUG